Molecule: ribosomal RNA, 492 nt
Filed under: Filifactor sp. canine oral taxon 164
Lineage: Bacteria; Bacillati; Bacillota; Clostridia; Peptostreptococcales; Filifactoraceae
Description: bacterial SSU rRNA
Rfam family: Bacterial small subunit ribosomal RNA
Source: RNAcentral
GAGUUUGAUCAUGGCUCAGGAUGAACGCUGGCGGCGUGCUUAACACAUGCAAGUCGAACGAUCCAGCACUCAACUACCAACUACAUUUUCAAGAAGAAACGAAAGUGUGGUUAGUAGUUGAGUGCUGGAGAGUGGCGGACGGGUGCGUAACGUGUGGGUAAUCUGCCUUUGUCAUGGGAAUAACUGCUUGAAAGAGCAGCUAAUACCGAAUAACAUAUGCAAUAGGCAUCUAUUGGAUAUCAAAGAGAAAUCGGACAAAGAUGAGCCCGCAUCUGAUUAGCUAGUUGGUAGGGUAACAGCCUACCAAGGCAACGAUCAGUAGCCGACCUGAGAGGGUGAACGGCCACAUUGGAACUGAGACACGGUCCAAACUCCUACGGGAGGCAGCAGUGGGGAAUAUUGCACAAUGGGGGGAACCCUGAUGCAGCAACGCCGCGUGAGUGAAGAAGGCUUUCGAGUCGUAAAACUCUGUUGUAAGGGAAGAUAAUGACA